AGUGAACGCUGGCGGUAGGCCUAACACAUGCAAGUCGAACGGCAGCACAGUAAGAGCUUGCUCUUACGGGUGGCGAGUGGCGGACGGGUGAGGAAUACAUCGGACUCUACUUUUUCGUGGGGGAUAACGUAGGGAAACUUACGCUAAUACCGCAUACGACCUACGGGUGAAAGCAGGGGAUCUUCUGACCUUGUGCGAUUGAAUGAGCCGCUGUCGGAUUAGCUAGUUGGGGGGGUAAAGGCCCACCGAGGCGACGAUCCGUAGCUGGUCUGAGAGGAGGAUCAGCCGCACUGGAGCUGGGACACGGUCCAGACGCCUACGGGAGGCAGCAGUGGGGAAUAUUGGACAGAGGGCGGAAGCCUGAUACAGCCAGACCGCGUGGGUGAAGAAGGCCUUCGGGUUGUAAAGCCCUUUUGUUGGGAAAGAAAAGCAGCAGGUUAAUACCCCGCUGUUCUGACGGUACCCAAAGAAUAAGCACCGGCUAACUUCGUG
Molecule: ribosomal RNA, 492 nt
Filed under: uncultured bacterium
Lineage: Bacteria
Description: partial 16S ribosomal RNA
Rfam family: Bacterial small subunit ribosomal RNA
Source: RNAcentral